GCUCACUGAAUAACCAAGGCGGUGAUUGUGCUGCAAGUUACUUUCCCCAAAUAUUGUCGUCUUCACCGCCUCUUUUUUUUUAAUAAAUGGCCACGUGUUUUCUCCGAAGUGCCAGGUGGAAAACUACUGGAUGAAGGGGACUGCCCCUUGUUAUAAUUUGGAUCUAAGCAUAAAUAAGAAAGUUACGUUCCAAUGGUGAGGUAACAGACUACUGACCAACAUCUACUACUUCAGGUCUUCAGGUCAGUCUAAAGCGCAGGGGACUUCGGCCCCCUCUCCCUACUAUCCUACUGGCCAAUGUACAGUCCCUUGAAAAUAAAGUGGAGGACUUAAGGGCAAGGCUGCUUUAUCAAAGGGAGCGGAGGGAAUGCUCUGUGUUCUGUUUCACAGAGACAUGGCUCACCCCCAGACUCAGCGGUCCAGCCUGAAGUGUUCUCCAUUCACCGUAUAGACUGUACGCAGGCAUCUGAGAAAGGGAGAGGAGGGGGCGUCUGCCUCAUGGUCAACUCUGCGUGGUGCUCAGAUGUGGCAGUCCUUUCCAACUCCUGCUCUCCACACCUCGAACAUCUGGCGGUGAAGUGCCGCCCCUUCUACCUUCCAAGGGAAUUCACCUCCAUCAUCCUGACCGGGUCUACAUCCCACCCCAGGCAGAUGUCCGCCUGGUACUGGAGGAGCUGCACGCCAUGGUCAACAAACACCAGACGUCUUACCCCGAGGCGUUUACCACCAUAGCUGGGGACUUCAAUAAAGCAAACCUUACGAAACCGCUCCCUAACUUCCACCAACAUGUCUCCUGCUGCACCAGAGGACCAAACACCCUCGACCACUGCUACACCACCAUCAAGAAUGCCUAUCGCUCUACCCCUCUCCCUCACUUCGGUAAAUCCGACCAUAAUGCUGCUUCUUCUUGCCUAUUGAAGAGCGAUUGAA
Long non-coding RNA from Leucoraja erinaceus (little skate), 930 nucleotides. RefSeq lists it as uncharacterized. The record is from RefSeq and is a predicted model, not a curated record. The transcript is spliced from 3 exons. Lineage: Eukaryota; Metazoa; Chordata; Chondrichthyes; Rajiformes; Rajidae.